GGUUGUGGCUCAAGUGGUAGAGCGCUCGCCUGGCAUGCGUGAGGCACUGGGUUCGAUCCUCUGCACCA
RNAcentral lists this transfer RNA (68 nucleotides) under Marmota monax (woodchuck). RNAcentral's name for it is "tRNA.Ala". It matches the Rfam family "tRNA". Rfam says of the family: Transfer RNA (tRNA) molecules are approximately 80 nucleotides in length. The record is from RNAcentral. Lineage: Eukaryota; Metazoa; Chordata; Mammalia; Rodentia; Sciuridae.